GCCGAAGUGGCGGAAUUGGUAGACGCGCUAGUUUCAGGGACUAGUGGACGUAUGUUCGUGGGAGUUCGAAUCUCCCCUUCGGCA
This 84-nucleotide transfer RNA is filed under the name Desulfocicer vacuolatum DSM 3385. Its description in RNAcentral is "Desulfobacterium vacuolatum DSM 3385 tRNA". It matches the Rfam family "tRNA". Rfam says of the family: Transfer RNA (tRNA) molecules are approximately 80 nucleotides in length. Lineage: Bacteria; Pseudomonadati; Thermodesulfobacteriota; Desulfobacteria; Desulfobacterales; Desulfobacteraceae. The record is from Rfam by way of RNAcentral.